This 253-nucleotide ribosomal RNA is filed under the name uncultured bacterium. RNAcentral describes it as "partial 16S ribosomal RNA". It matches the Rfam family "Bacterial small subunit ribosomal RNA", at positions 524 to 776 of the family's 1533-position model. The record is from RNAcentral.
UACGUAGGUGGCAAGCGUUGUCCGGAUUUACUGGGCGUAAAGAGCGCGCAGGCGGUCGUUCAAGUCGCGUGUGAAAGCCCCCGGCUCAACUGGGGAGGGUCACGCGAUACUGAUCGACUCGAAGGCAGGAGAGGGAAGUGGAAUUCCCGGUGUAGUGGUGAAAUGCGUAGAUAUUGGGAAGAACACCUGAGGCGAAGGCGGGAUGCUGGGCCGACACUGACGCUGAGGCGCGAAAGCGUGGGGAGCGAACAGG